RNAcentral lists this long non-coding RNA (1958 nucleotides) under Zostera marina. RNAcentral describes it as "long non-coding RNA (ZMAR_LNC004218)". The record is from RNAcentral. Lineage: Eukaryota; Viridiplantae; Streptophyta; Magnoliopsida; Alismatales; Zosteraceae.
AUUUUAAUACCUCAUAGUGUCGACAUUGGGGGGCAAAUAGGUAAUGACAAAUAACCCCUCAAACAUAAAUAAUCUGGUGAGAUGCAUUAAUCGGUCAAUCAAUUAUAACCCAUUUAUGUGGAAAUGUUUUUUAACCAAAAUCAUACACAGACUUCAUAACCCUAUUUUCGAUUCAUCCCUAAUUUCCAAUUCUUCGUUGGUCUUGUACCAGACAGUCUCGUAUAUCAUCUCCACCAGGCAGUCUCGUAUAUCUCAAAAACUGUAUGGUUUGUAAAUCAUGUUGCCGAUUACCCAUUCCGAAUGAUUCUGUAUGGCGAAGUGGAAGAACAACAUCAUCGGCUUUUCCGAGUAUUAUCUCGAUAAAGGCAUGCCUUAUUUUCUUUUGAGAAUAUAAAAGCGGAGGUAAGGGAUUAUUUUGGGUUUAUUGUUCUUGAGUUUUUCGUUAAGGGUUAGUCAGCAGUUUAUUUUAACACGCAGCUGUAUGGUAGAUUUCGUCUACCAGUUUCUAGGUUUUAUUCCUCCGUUUCUUUCGUUUAAUGAUGUUCUCCAAAAACUGUUGACAGAUGUUCAUUAGAUGUAGAUUUUUUUUGAAAAUUAUCCAGGCUGCCUAGCCUCCAAUUUCUUUAUUUUAUUUAAUGAUCUAGAGUACCUAUUGAUUAUCAAUUUACAGAUUAUCGAGGGAUGACUUCUUCGACUCUUUAGGUAAAUCAAGAUGCAGCGGGGUCUGGUUAUCCUCUCGGCUGUAUAGAUCGGGUGGUAGGGAUUUUGGGGUAGAUCGGGAGAGAUUGUCCAUGAAAAAAUCGGUAGGGAUUUAUCCAAAUAAAUUAGAACCCAAUAUAUAUCCGAAAAAUUUAUCCGGAUAUAACCGGAUAAUUAUUUGGAUAUAACUAAUUCGGUUAGUAUAACCGAUAGUAGAUACUAUUCGGUUUGAUACUAUUAGGUUAUAUUAUUUUUCCGUUUAUACCCAUCACUCUAUAAUUUCACAUUAAUUAUAUGGAUUUGGAUUUGGAUUAUCGAAAAAUUAUCCUGAAAUCGUUUAAAUAGAAGAGAUAUUGGUAUCAAUUUCUAGAAUUCCACUGACUUUUUAAAAUCUUAUUAUGGUUAAACUUUUUUGUGUAAAAGUAAUUAACGGUCAAAUCUAUAGUAUUAAAUUUGUUACAUUUAGUUUAAUACAAUGUGUGAAAUACGUUAUGUGAAGGUAUUGGUAAAUUUGACAAUGGUCUUUUAUUAAAUAAAUUUAUUGUAUUAGACUAAUUUUUUCAGGUCUAGUCUUUUCACUAUGGCAGUCUGCACAGGUUAAUCAUCUAUCGGGGGCAAGUCUGCGCACGUCCGAUCGACGUCAUUCAUGUUUCCUUCUGCAGCUUUUUUGGAGGAGGUUAGUCGGUGGAAAAAUCUGAGUGUGGUUUAACUUCUGUAGGUUUACCAAGGUUAGACAGUGGUUUAACUUGGUUUAAAUUUUUAGUCACCAUCUACAUCUUAUUCUUCCGACAACGAUGGUUUAAAUUUUUAGUCUGCCUCUACAUCUUAUUCUUCAUCGUUUACUAUUUUACUCUUUCGUUAUUUGCCGUCGUAACAAUCUGAUGUUCUGCAGGUGACCCAUCUGAAAAUGGAUACUGAUCAGGACUAAAGGAGACCCAUCAAAUAAUGUUCUGCAGGUGCCGUCGUAACCUGAUGUUAGUAAUCCUCGUAAAAAACGGUACAAAUCUUGUGAAAAUCACAUGAAAACAAGGUAAAGAUUCGACGCAUUAAUAUCAGAUUUACUACUUUGAAUUACUCUAUCUAUUUAAUACUCUGUAAAAAUCUGUUUAAAUUACUCUGUAAAAAGCUGACGUAUUUAAUAUUCUGUAAAAAUCUGCUGACACUCUAGCCGACCAUCUAUCCAUUACAAGUUUUCCUUUAUAAUUUAUUAAUUUUUUACAAAUAUCAAGAAAAUAUGAUUACACUUACACACUAUAAAU